ACGCUGGCGGCACGCCUAACACAUGCAAGUCGAGCGAAGUAGCAAUACUUAGUGGCAGACGGGUGAGUAACAUGUAGGUAUCUGCCCUUUGGCCUGGAAUAACACGAGGAAACUUGUGCUAAUACCGGAUAAGUCUUUACGAGAGAAAGCUUUAUGCACCAUUGGAUGAGCCUGCACUUGAUUAGUUUGUUGGUGGGGUAAUGGCCUGCCAAGACUUUGAUCAAUAGCUGAUUUGAGAGGAUGAUCAGCCACAUUGGGACUGAGACACGGCCCAAACUCCUACGGGAGGCAGCAGUGGGGAAUCUUGCACAAUGGAGGAAACUCUGAUGCAGCGAUGCCGCGUGAGUGAAGAAGGCCCUUGGGUUGUAAAGCUCUUUCGUCGGGGAAGAAAAUGACUGUACCCGAAUAAGAAGGUCCGGCUAACUUCGUGCCAGCAGCCGCGGUAAUACGAAGGGACCUAGCGUAGUUCGGAAUUACUGGGCUUAAAGAGUUCGUAGGUGGUUGAAAAAGUUGGUGGUGAAAUCC
RNAcentral lists this ribosomal RNA (525 nucleotides) under uncultured Pelagibacterales bacterium. Its description in RNAcentral is "bacterial SSU rRNA". It matches the Rfam family "Bacterial small subunit ribosomal RNA", at positions 33 to 602 of the family's 1533-position model. The record is from RNAcentral. Lineage: Bacteria; Pseudomonadati; Pseudomonadota; Alphaproteobacteria; Candidatus Pelagibacterales.